This 1625-nucleotide long non-coding RNA is filed under the name Marmota monax (woodchuck). The record is from RNAcentral. Lineage: Eukaryota; Metazoa; Chordata; Mammalia; Rodentia; Sciuridae.
AAUAAACAAAGAUACUGUGUGUUCAUCCACAAAUAAAUAGAUUUUUUUUUUAAAAAGUUCACAAUAUGGUUUCAAACUUUUAAGAAACUACCACUUAUCAAGUUUUGGUAUGACAUCAAGAAUGUCCAUUUCCUGCCAGGUGUGGUGGUACAUGCCUGUAAUCCCAGUGACUCAGGAGGCUGAGGCAGGAGGACUACAAGUUCAAAGCCAGCCUUAGCAACUUACUGAGGUCCUAAGCAACUUAGCAAGACCCUGUCUCAAAAUAAAAAAUAAAGGGGCUGGGGUUGGGGCUCAGUGGUAGCACACUUACCUGGUUUGUGUGAGGCACUAGGUUCAAUUCUUAGCACCACAUAUAAAUAAAUAAAAUAAAGGUCUAUCAACAAUUUUAAAGAACUAAAAAAUAAAAAGGGGAUGUGGCUCAGUAGUUAAGUGCCCCUGCAUUCGAUCUCUGGUACUCCUUCCCCCCUCAAAAAAUGUUCUUUUGCCUAACACACAUCUGUGUGAGGCUGGAUUUUCUUCACAUACUUCAAGUAAGGCAACGAGACACUGUAUUGCAUCAGACUGAAUGCAGAACCUUACAAAAUGCACCUGAAGGGUCAUAAAAACUGAAAGGAAGGUCACUCCCAUCCCUAAAUCUUUUAGAAAGUUUUUUAAAUAAAAUAUAUUAAUAUGUGAUUGGUUUAUUUUUCUUUUUAAAUGAAUUGAUAAGUAAAAAUUUCAAAGUUCUGUUUUAAUUUCUAGAACAAUAAAUAUCAAUACAUAAAAUUUCUUUAAACAAAAGCUUUCCAGGAUUCUCAAUAAUUAUUAAGAAUGCAAAGGAUGCUGAGAAUAAAAAAUUUGAAAACUAUUAUUCCAUAGUGUGGCUUAGUUAGAACUUGCCCCUUUUGUUGCAAAUUGAAUUAUUUGACCCUAAAUUUAGGUCCUUAGUUUGGACUGAAAUUAUAUUUUGUCAUAUUGAUGUUGGCCUGAGAGGCCAGUGAAAAACCAGCCUCUACCUCACAGCAAAGCCUGUCAAGGAAGGGGCAUGACCUUUGUCCUUGGAAAAGACUACAGAGCACUCCUAGGCACAUUCCCACCCUGCUGAGUUGUUUAUCUACAAAUAACAGGAGAGAUCUGCUGAGCCAGGUGUCCCUGACUCAGUCAGGCUAGGUGAGGGCCCAUAGCAACCCCCUAGCAGCCACCAAUCAGCAUGAGACAGGGAAAUACCUGGGAUGCCAGAUGACCCUCCCAGUAGUUUAUGAUGUUGGGAAACCCUGUAGUUCAGCAUGAACACCCCUCUUGGCUUAAACCAAUCAGUUCAAAUGAAUCCCCCUCUUGAGUAACCAAUCACCCCUACCCAACUUGUUUCCGCCAGUGAAUGUGCUAAUCAUAGUUUAGAGUUGUUUUAUUAUUUUCCCUGUGGUGUAUGAUGAUUUUCUAAGAGAUGCUAUGAAGUAUGUGAAGUCCCUGCCUUCUCCAAAGAGUGUAUAAAACUGCUGCAAACCCUGGGCUCGGGGCCUCUCAGCGUCACCAGUUGCUGUGUGCACACGGAGGACCGUGCUAGCUUGCAAUAAACACCUCUUUGCUGCUUACAUCGUCUUGGUCUCUGGUGGUCUUUUGGGGGUCCCGAAUUCUAGCCUAACACC